CGACAAGUUGAAUAAACAACUCCGCAAACGACGAAAGCAACAUGACAUGAAAAUAUUGGCUCAAAGAACAAUGAAAAUUCCAUAACUAUAUGGAUAUGGUGGGGGUGGGGGCUGCGGAAAAGGGAGCUUUUUCUUUUUUUCUCAUCCCAUUCCUCUGUACUCUUCUUAUGAAAAAGAAGACAAAGCUAUCUUCCAUGGAAUUUGUAAAAAGGUUAUCUUCAUCGAUUAAUGAAAAGGGA
Molecule: long non-coding RNA, 239 nt
Filed under: Nicotiana benthamiana
Lineage: Eukaryota; Viridiplantae; Streptophyta; Magnoliopsida; Solanales; Solanaceae
Description: long non-coding RNA (NBEN_LNC005879)
Source: RNAcentral